Molecule: long non-coding RNA, 8364 nt
Filed under: Brassica rapa (field mustard)
Lineage: Eukaryota; Viridiplantae; Streptophyta; Magnoliopsida; Brassicales; Brassicaceae
Description: long non-coding RNA (BRAP_LNC002079)
Source: RNAcentral
AGAACCAGAGGACAUGUGUAUCUGUUAAAUAUAAUCUUCACAAACCAAAUUGACUUUAUAUAUAUGAUCACUUUAUGUAAAACACAACAACGAGAACCAUCCGUAGAGUACAUUUCACAUAAAGCUGAAAUUAAGUAACACAAUAUCAUCAAAUAUAUAUAUAUAUAUAUAUAUAUAUAUAUAUAUAUAUUUAUAACACCAAGAAUUUGCAUGAAACCGUUAACACCGAUCUCAUCACUAGCUGCAGAAGUGAAAGAUAUGGUAACAACAGCAGACCGUGCUACAACUGCCAAGACAACGCCAUUGUUAGCCUCUUUUUUUUUACCAUUUUAUGUAGGAAAUAUGAUAUUGUAAUAAUUAAAACAGUAACAUAUCUUCCGAAAUACUAGAAAAAGCGAGGUUUUCAUAUAGCAAAGUGCGAAACAAUUUUAAUUUACUUUGGCUGCUCAGUUGGAAAAGGAAAAACAGUUUGAGCUGAAAACUUGAAGUUGGAUUUUUUCUGAAAAAGAAACUGAGUUGGUGAAAUUAGACAAUUCUUUUUAAAAGAAAACCCUAGGUUUAAAAUUUUAAUCUCGUCUGACAUAAUGAAAACAAAUCUAUAAAAAAAUGUCUGAUGAGUUAAAUAUUUUAAAACCCCCAAAAAAUGGAGAAAUCACAUCUCUAAAAUCUACACAAUCAGAUCACUAAAAACAAAACAAAAAAAAAUACAUUUGAGCGCUGUGUGAAUAUUCUGCAAAUGAUUAACGUAUAACUAAAAGCAACUAAUCUAUAAAUACAAAAAGUAUUUUUUUCUAGCAAAGAAGAACGUAAAUUUAAAGAAAUAUUUACAUUUUUUUAAAAGAACAUUCAUCAUCGCCUUUGGACUUGGUCUCCACUGCGGCUACCACGGGAUCACCACCAGCCACAUCUCUGGUCGGAUAACCAAUUGGCGGCGGAAUUGUGUACGCCCCCUGCGUAGGUUUUUCCACUACAACUAAAAAACAUUAGUAAAUUAUAUAACGAAUUAAUUCGUCAGUGGUAACAGAAUAGCUGUUGUAUAUAUAUUCUUAGCAUCAGUACCAGAAAAAAGCUGUUGGGUAUAUGGACAUUGAUCUUCAAAAGACUUAACUGAAUAACUAGGAGUAUUACCUGAAGACGGAUUCAUUCUGACUUCUAUGAUAAGUGAGGAGAUAAGGAUUAUGAAGAGGAGAGAGUGUUGUGGUUUUAAUUCAAAGAAGACGAGUACUAUCCAUGGUUUUAUAGAGAUUAUGAAUAUCCGGCUCAGGAUUAUGAAGAUAAUGAGUAUGAGGACGAGUGAAUACUUAGGUCCACGACAAUCCACUCUCUAGGUUCUUAGUGUUCGUAUUUCGAGUGAAUAUCUUAAUAAUAAUAUUUUGGAGAAAAGUCUUUGGUGUGUAAGUGUGCCUCAAUGGACUUUUCCAUAUCCAGCUAUAUCUUCUCCUUUCGAGUCAAUUUAGAUUUGGACUCACUAACGGAUGUUCCCCUUAACAUAUAAUUAGAUCUCGAUCCGCACUACCAUGCAAGUUUUUGUUUUUAUUUAUUUUUAUAUAAAAUUUUUGUUUCCAAUUCUAAAUUGAUAUAUAUUAUAAUAUAUAUAUAUAUCUAUCAAAUUUUAAAACAUAAUAAAUUUACGGUAUAUUUUUUAUUUGAAUAGAUUAUUUCGAACUUUCACAUGUAUUUGUAUCUUCUUCUAUAUAUAUAUUUUUUGGAUUAUUAUUUCAUUAUUAAAAUCGUAACUAUAUAUAUAAAGAUUAGUAAAAUAUUUUUUUAUUGUAAUAUUUACAAAUAUUGUAACAUUUCACAAAUUUAAAAUUUUUUUAAAAUUAUCGAGUAAAUAAUUAAACAUUUAGUUUUUGUUUAAUUUUUAAAAUAAACUAUAUAGUUUAAAAUUUGUUUUCAUUGGUUUAAGGUAGUAAAAAUUAAUCGUAGUUAGAUAAUAUGAUUUUUUGUUAUUUAAAAAAAAAUCUUCAAAAUUUUAAAAUUUAACAUCGACAAAUAUUUAAAUAAUUAACGUAUGGAUGUAUAGUAUUACAACAUUAAAUUAUAUCUAUUUAAUUUAUAUUAUCUAUAAAUCCAAUGUAUCAUCUAUUGUUUAAAUCCAAUUAUUGAUAGCCCAAUAAAACUUUUAGGUAAGCCCCAAAUUUAAAUGAUAAGAUUAGAGAUUAAAUGUAACAUAACUUUCUAUAAUAGGUCCAUUAGGUCCAUUUUUUUAAAAAAAAUCACAGAUGAAUCAAUGUUGUGCAUUCUGUUUUAAUAUAUAAGAUCAUAUAUCUUCAGCAGGGUUGUAGCUGGUAGCAAGCUUGGUGUGGCUUCUGGGCUUCAAACGGUCUUGAAAUAUGCUUGGCCCACGUUCUAGCAUCCAUAUCGAUCGAUGUCAAUAGUUCUGCAUCGAUCGACAUACGUUCCUCUUCUCGACAGCUUCUUCUCGCGAGGCAGACUGACCACUCUUCAGUAAAACGAGCAUAACGUCUGCUACAGGAUGCUGAUUGACCUCACACCAGUGGCAUUGGAAAGCUAACUCAACGAUCUAUUUUGUGUUAGAAGAUGAGUUCAAUCUAACGGUGGAAAGGUCUUAAUCCACAGCUAGAAAUCUGACGCAUCUGUGCAGUUCUGCACCUCAAAAAAAUUCUAAAAUCACCAUAUUUCUUCAAAACGUACCUGAACCUGUAAAUACUCUAAAUAGACUCUAUAUAGUAGUAAAUAUAUAUUAAAACACUUAUAUACCAUGGCUAAAAGUGGGUAAAAUCCAUGGUCUAUUAUAUACUAUUACUGAUACUGAUACUGAUUUGAGCUUCCAUUAAAUUCCUUAGAAGAUAUGAAAUGAUGGAAAUGCUGGAGGUUUUUGUAUACAUAGAAGGAGAUAGACCCAUAAUGCACAGAGCAAUGAUUAUGGAACAAUCGCUAAAAGAACUAAACUUUACAGAAUAUGAACAAUCCCUAUAAGCGUAAAACUUUCCAGAAUAUUAAUGGAGUAAACUGUAAAUCAGAUUUAUGAAAAGAGGCUUACAUUCUCAUCGACAAAGAGCAUGUCAACACUCAUCAGUUCACUACCUUUCCUUACAUUUUUCGCCUCCCAGUAUCGGGGUAAACGAACCUCCGCGACGUUCGAGCACCGUCCUGCGUUCAGAUCGGCAAGAAGGACUUGGGGAUUCGCCAUUGUAAUAACUGGAAAUUGAACAGAAUGAUCUUCUGGUUCUCGUCGAAGCUGAGAUGCUCAUGUCUGGAUGAGGAGGUAUUUAUACCCGAAACUCUACUGAGUAACUCAGGGAAGAGAAGGAGUCGGAUUGAAUGCUGAAAAGUGGGGAAAUCACGAUUUAACCAAAGUAAAGAAGAGCAAAGCCAAACGUUGUAACGUCCAUGGCGUUAUCAUCGACUUUCAUCUGCAAAAUGCGGCGGCCGUAAGAAGGAGAAACGACCAAGAGGAAGAGGCGAUUCCGGGCCUGAAAAUUUAAUGUUUUGAGAUGGACCUCAAACUAAAACACAAAAUCCAAUUUAUCAAACAAAACCCAAUCGUAAAUUAUAGCCAAUGAAAAAACAAUACGUGUCAUUUUUUCUUCCAAGGAAAGAAAAAAGUCUACUUUAUUGGUAUAGAUAUGCACGUUUAAUUAAAUCAUGAAGUUCACUUUAAUAAAUAUAAAAAUAAUGACUUAUUUAAAAAAACUAGGCCAAACAAAACAAAAGAGGGAUAAAAAAAUAUAAUUAUUUGCAUGCUCUUAAAUGGAUUAUUAUCUUAGCCGAAUGACACAUUUCCACAAAUGUCUACACCAAAUGAGAUUUUAUAACAAGUGUCUAACCUUAUGACACAUGCACAACAUACGCAUCCGCCAAAUGACACAUGUCAAACACUCACAAAUAAUUAUUUAUUUAUUAAAUUCAUUUUUAAAUAAUUACCAAAAUGCCAUUAUCUUCAACCUUUGGCUAAAACACCAUUUUAACAUAAAAUCAAGCUUUCAUGAGAUUUUAAUUCCAAAAAUUAUGCAUAAUAACCUUAUAAAUCAUGAUAAAGCAAGACUUUAACUUUAAUCAUGAUUCUUAUGCAUAAUUAAUAAAAUCUCAAACUUUAAAUUCAUAAAUUUUAUAAAUAACCUAAAUAUCACAUCAUGAACACAUGCGACCAUAUACACAUAGUAGUAGGCUCUGAUACCACUUGAUGGAUUUACGUAUACUUAAUGGAGGUGGUAUCGUCUCCACAUAUAUCCUUAGGCCCCUUGAUCUACUAGUGUAUAUGGUUAGCACUGAAAAUUAAGAGCGCUUGAAACACUUACUUGAACUCAUCUUAGAAGAAGAUGAUAGGUAGAUGGUCUUCUAGCUCUUCGUAUCCGAAUUAUCCUCUAAUAAGUAGUGGGAGCUUGAGUAGAGAAUAGAGGAAGUAUGUCUGAUGAGAGUGAGAGAGAAUCCUUAUGUUUUUGUUUAGCAAAAUGACAAAAGCCUUCUUUUCAACCUUACACUUUAUGUUCUCAUCUCUCUAUCUUAUAUACUUCUCCACCUUAUGGUAUAUAUUAAACCGAAUAUAUAUACCUUCAUAUAUACGUGAGCUAGGGACCACAACCAAUCCAGUAAACUGUAACUUAACCGGUCCUGAACCAUUGUCAUUUAAUUCAGCCCAUCAUAGAAUUAAAUGAUAUCCUAAUUGGUUUUGGGAAAAUUGCUAAAAGAGAACAAAAAAAUAAGGUUGUUGUUCCCUUGGUAUAAAACCAACAUAAAGUUGUCUCAAUAGUAUAAUAUUUCUCAUAAUCCCAAAACUAACCAUAUAUUUAAUCUAAUUAAACACAAUUUAAAAGUUAAUUUGAAUUUAAAAAAAAAAGUUAAUGGAGAAAAGAAAAAAAAAACAGUUGAAAGGCAAUCGAAAAAAAGAGAGGUAUAGAUAUGCAUCUUAGAGAACAAGAGUUUGUGAGAAGAAUCAAAAGAAAAACUAUGGAAAAACCAUAGAUUGAUGAAGAAGAGAAGGGAGAAUCGUUUUUUUAUUUAAUUUUUCAAGUAAAAUCGACCAUAACAUGUUUUAGGAAGUUUGAAUAUUUCUAGGAGAUUUUUAGAAUAUUUCCUUAACUGAAAUUUCACUAAUUUUUGCAAAAAAAAUCAGGUAUUCUUAUCCGCAGAAUGUGACUUCUAAAAAUUUAUAAGAAUGAUAAAAAUUCUGAAUACACUUUCUACUUUGAGUAGCAUAAGAGUACAUUGUAGAAAACACAUUCCCCGAAAUUUAGAAUACUUAGUAGAAGAUGCAUUCGGAAGGAAAAUAGAUACAUUUACGAUUAGUAGAAUGCACAUUUCUCUUUUUUAGAAAUUUAGUAAAUAGUAAAAUGGGCGUUCUAAAAGAAGUAGAUGAACGUGUUUAUUUUAGAAAUCGUUUUCUACUAUACCAUUUUUCGUAGAAGACGCAUUCUACUUUUAGUAGAACGUAUUUUAAAAAUCUUAUUUACCAAGUUUUUGAACAAAAGAAAAUUACCAGCUUGUGUAUAUGGAUGUUUUAUUAAUUGUUUAUAUUUUUAAUAAAUUUUUUGAUUCAAAAAAUUAUUUAUUUCAUUAGUUUUCAGAAAUACAAAAGGUAAAAAGGAGAAAAAAGAAAAAAAAUGGACAAAAUUGGUUUUAUACCAAAGGGACAACAACCUGAUUUUUUUGUUCUCUUUUGGCAAUUUUCCCAUUGGUUUUAUGCAUAAAAUCCCCAUGUCUAUCAAUUCAAAUACCAAAGAUCCAAUCCAAAUAUGAUCACUCAUUAUUUGAAUUGAACCGAAAUAACAAUCCUUAAUCCAUAAAUCCCACAAUUGGUUCACAUCUCCAAUAAUAUCUAGGAUUUUAUGCACUUAUUAUCAAAGAUGAUAAAUAAUUUUGUUGUCCUAUUCUAUAAGAAUGUUAAGUUUUUAAAGAAACCAUUAUGUUCCAAAAAAAAUUAUAUAUAUAUAUCAAACUUUCUCCAAGUACACCAUCAUCGCCUUUGGACUGUGUUCCGCCCCUGUGAAGUUUUCCACUACAGCUAAAACAAUAACUAAAUUAUAUAACGAAGUGGUCAAUGGUAAUUUUUUUCUUGAGUUCUAGGUUUACAUCAUUUCAAACCAUAACAUCAAAUUUGGUGUUAAAACUAUACCAAAAUUUUGAUGUUAAAUUUUAUUUUUAAUCUUUAAUCACCACACCAAAUUUUAUGCCAAAACAAUUCGUUAUAUUAAUAUUUUUUAGUUUUGGUAAUUUAAUACAUUAAUUAUUUAUAAUUGACAAAUUAUAUUUAUUACAUUUUGUUUUAUAUUUAAUAUUAAAAUUUGGUAACUUUAUCUUCCUGUUUAUAUAUAUAUAUAUAUAUAUAUAAGUCGUUUUUUUUUCUUUUAGUUAUAUUGUAUAAUUAUUUGUUUAUUUUGUUUAAAAUAUUGGUCGAAACUAAUUUUUUUACAUUUAAAAUUAAAAGCAUGUUUAUGUUGUUACCAUUUAAUGUUAUUAUGAUUAUAGUCAUUUUAAUUAUAUUAUUAAUUAAAAAUAGAAAUGAAUAGAUGAGAAUACAAAUAUAAAAUAUUAUGAGAUAUUCAUUUUAACUAUAAGUUAAAACUAAUUAAUAAAACGAUAUAUCUAUAUUUAAAUAAACGUAAUAAGAUACAUUAAUUUAAUAUUUGGUAUAAUGAAGAGUGUGACAUUAAAUUUGGUUUAACACUAUUUACAUUACACCAACUUUAAUAUAAGAUGAUAUCAUUUUUAUGUCUCACUGGAAAUGAAAUUUUUGAUGUUUUGGUAUCUCAUUGGAGAUGACCUACCUAACUUUUUACCUUGUAUAAGCAGAAGAGUUUUGCGUCUGACUAUUAUGCCAUCAACCAUAGUUGUAUUUAUUACAUAUGUGAAUUUUUAUACCUUCUAAGUAAAGCAAAACACAAAUUAUUCAACGGAUAGGUUCUAAGAUUUUGUAUUGGAUUUUAAGAUGCAUGAAGUUAGUUAAACAAUUCAAAGUUUUCUUGAACUUGUUGAUUAUUUUGUUUAAAUCUAUACUCAUAAUUUUUUGAAAGGAAUUGUAAUAAAACACAUGUUUGUACAAGAUUCUCUAAUGCAUUUUAUGUUACAGUUUUUAACGUAGUUCAACGUAGUUGUUGUAUUUACAUUGUUAGAAGAACCAGAGGACAUGUGUAUCUGUUAAAUAUAAUCUUCACAAACCAAAUUGACUUUAUAUAUAUGAUCACUUUAUGUAAAACACAACAACGAGAACCAUCCGUAGAGUACAUUUCACAUAAAGCUGAAAUUAAGUAACACAAUAUCAUCAAAUAUAUAUAUAUAUAUAUAUUUAUAACACCAAGAAUUUGCAUGAAACCGUUAACACCGAUCUCAUCACUAGCUGCAGAAGUGAAAGAUAUGGUAACAACAGCAGACCGUGCUACAACUGCCAAGACAACGCCAUUGUUAGCCUCUUUUUUUUUACCAUUUUAUGUAGGAAAUAUGAUAUUGUAAUAAUUAAAACAGUAACAUAUCUUCCGAAAUACUAGAAAAAGCGAGGUUUUCAUAUAGCAAAGUGCGAAACAAUUUUAAUUUACUUUGGCUGCUCAGUUGGAAAAGGAAAAACAGUUUGAGCUGAAAACUUGAAGUUGGAUUUUUUCUGAAAAAGAAACUGAGUUGGUGAAAUUAGACAAUUCUUUUUAAAAGAAAACCCUAGGUUUAAAAUUUUAAUCUCGUCUGACAUAAUGAAAACAAAUCUAUAAAAAAAUGUCUGAUGAGUUAAAUAUUUUAAAACCCCCAAAAAAUGGAGAAAUCACAUCUCUAAAAUCUACACAAUCAGAUCACUAAAAACAAAACAAAAAAAAAUACAUUUGAGCGCUGUGUGAAUAUUCUGCAAAUGAUUAACGUAUAACUAAAAGCAACUAAUCUAUAAAUACAAAAAGUAUUUUUUUCUAGCAAAGAAGAACGUAAAUUUAAAGAAAUAUUUACAUUUUUUUAAAAGAACAUUCAUCAUCGCCUUUGGACUUGGUCUCCACUGCGGCUACCACGGGAUCACCACCAGCCACAUCUCUGGUCGGAUAACCAAUUGGCGGCGGAAUUGUGUACGCCCCCUGCGUAGGUUUUUCCACUACAACUAAAAAACAUUAGUAAAUUAUAUAACGAAUUAAUUCGUCAGUGGUAACAGAAUAGCUGUUGUAUAUAUAUUCUUAGCAUCAGUACCAGAAAAAAGCUGUUGGGUAUAUGGACAUUGAUCUUCAAAAGACUUAACUGAAUAACUAGGAGUAUUACCUGAAGACGGAUUCAUUCUGACUUCUAUGAUAAGUGAGGAGAUAAGGAUUAUGAAGAGGAGAGAGUGUUGUGGUUUUAAUUCAAAGAAGACGAGUACUAUCCAUGGUUUUAUAGAGAUUAUGAAUAUCCGGCUCAGGAUUAUGAAGAUAAUGAGUAUGAGGACGAGUGAAUACUUAG